RNAcentral lists this ribosomal RNA (497 nucleotides) under uncultured bacterium. RNAcentral's name for it is "partial 16S ribosomal RNA". It matches the Rfam family "Bacterial small subunit ribosomal RNA", at positions 28 to 507 of the family's 1533-position model. The record is from RNAcentral.
GAUGAACGCUGGCGGCGUGCCUAAUACAUGCGAGUCGAGCGAACAGACGAGGAGCUUGCUCCUCUGACGUUAGCGGCGGACGGGUGAGUAACACGUGGAUAACCUACCUAUAAGACUGGGAUAACUUCGGGAAACCGGAGCUAAUACCGGAUAAUAUAUUGAACCGCAUGGUUCAAUAGUGAGAGACGGUUUUGCUGUCACUUAUAGAUGGAUCCGCGCCGCAUUAGCUAGUUGGUAAGGUAACGGCUUACCAAGGCAACGAUGCGUAGCCGACCUGAGAGGGUGAUCGGCCACACUGGAACUGAGACACGGUCCAGACUCCUACGGGAGGCAGCAGUAGGGAAUCUUCCGCAAUGGGCGAAAGCCUGACGGAGCAACGCCGCGUGAGUGAUGAAGGUCUUCGGAUCGUAAAACUCUGUUAUUAGGGAAGAACAAAUGUGUAAGUAACUAUGCACGUCUUGACGGUACCUAAUCAGAAAGCCACGGCUAACUACGUG